Long non-coding RNA from Aegilops tauschii subsp. strangulata, 1464 nucleotides. RefSeq lists it as uncharacterized. The record is from RefSeq and is a predicted model, not a curated record. NCBI's taxonomy places the organism in Eukaryota, Viridiplantae, Streptophyta, Magnoliopsida, Poales, Poaceae.
GCAGCCCUCGGGUCUAGCCGUUGGCUCCCCUGCACGACCGCCUCUGCCUCGCCCCAGAUCCGGGCCGCCCGAGCCACCGCGUAGCAUCUAGACGCCAUAUCCGGACUCCUAGCGCGCCAGCUCGGUGGCCGCCUGCGUAGCCAAGCCGCACCUCUGAACGCGGUCACCCCGAGGCAGCGUGCGCCCACGAGACGCUAGUGGCAGCACAGCGCUCGCGCACACCCACCAUUGCGCUCCACAGCGCCUGCGCAGCACCGCUCCGCUCCCUGACCUCGCGUGGCAGCGGCAGCCAGAUCCGCGCUGCCCUGCGCCAUCGAGCCGCGCCGCUGCACCCUCCCGCCUUCACGCACACCGAGGACCACGUCGCCGACAGGCAGCCAAGAACCCUACCGCGCCUUGUUGAGCUCCACCUCUCCGUGGUUGAGCCGCCCCCGCGCUUUGUGUUCCUCGCGAGAUGGAGAAGGCCCCGCCACCGCCGACCCCGCACGGGCUUUGCCCAGCGGCGGUGAGGGAGGUAGGAUGGGAUGGGUGGGCGGCGGCGGCGGCGAUUUAGGGUUCUCAUGGGCCGCUGCGGGGAGCGACACGGGAGUCGUUCGUUACUGUGGGAGUGUUUGCCAGUCAAAUUAAAGCUCUGCCCUCUCGGUUUAUUUGUGUAUUGAUUGCUGUAGACUGUAGUUUUACAUGAUUAGGCUUAUUUGAUUCCCCUUUUUUUUUAUCGAUUUCAGAUUAAUUCGGAUUUUGUAUAUGAAUUUGGUUACGUGAAUAUUCUUGACAUGCUCUCGAAGUCUACUUCCAAGGUCUUACGCGACAUAUGUGAUCCGUAUGUUUCUUGGAUUGGUGGCAUGGAAGAUGAUGACUUGAUGUAUGCAUGGAGGAUUGCAAAGGUUGUAAUUCCUGGGACUGAGACCGAAAUUGAACUCGCUAAGUUUGCAGGUGGUUUGGGAUCAAAGCAAAUAGAUGUGCCCGAAGAUGCAGGAAAAGCUAUUGCUGAUUGUGACAAACAAGACAUUCUGGAGUGCCUAGAAAGGCUUUUGGGUAUCUACGGAGAGAGAAAGUUAGCACAGCAGUAUCUUGAUAAGUUACUGCUUGGUAUGAUGACAACUGAAGAUCAAAUUGGUGUUACCGGGGCGGCUGUCGGUAGCGAAGAUGAUAAGCAGUUGACAGUUGUAGGUGUGAGAGGGAAAGAUGAGACGCCAGUUGUUGGUCGGUCGUGAAGAUGAUAAACAGUUGUCAGUUGAAGCUGUGGGUAAGAAAGAUGGUACUCUGUUCAUCUAUUGACAAGUGGCAGUUGGAAUGGUAAAAAUAUGGUUUUACCAUACACAAAAGGGGAGACGUAAUGAUGGCCGUUCCACUCAGUCCAAGAAUAAGAAGCGUUAGGUUUUGUUUAGAACCUUCUGUCUGCACAUGUGCCUAAUUCACAUCAUUUAGCUGAUAAUGUAUGUCAUGGCCACACUUGUGAACUCA